RNAcentral lists this ribosomal RNA (200 nucleotides) under uncultured bacterium. Its description in RNAcentral is "partial 16S ribosomal RNA". It matches the Rfam family "Bacterial small subunit ribosomal RNA", at positions 28 to 225 of the family's 1533-position model. The record is from RNAcentral.
GAUGGACGCUAGCGGCAGGCUUAAUACAUGCAAGACGAACGGUAAGUUGGGUAGCAAUACUUGACCUAGAGUGUCGUACGGGUGCGUAACACGUAUGCAACCUACCUUGUACAGGAGUAUAGCUCGGGGAAACCCGAAUUAACCCUCCAUAAUAUCAUUUGGUGGCAUCAUCGAAUGAUUAAAACUGAGGUGGUACAAGA